CCGUGCUUACCAUAUUGCAAGAGGAGAUACUCACCGGAAUGUCUGCAUUAUUCCUGUUUCUGCUCAUGGGACGAAUCCGGCGAGUGCAGCUAUGUGUGGAAUGAAAAUUGUCGCAGUUGGAACUGAUUCCAAGGGGAACAUCAACAUCGAGGAGCUGCGAAAAGCUGCUGAAACUAACAAGGACCACUUAGCUGCUCUGAUGGUUACCUACCCCUCUACCCAUGGAGUCUAUGAAGAAGGAAUCGAUGAGAUAUGUAAGAUCAUCCAUGACAAUGGGGGGCAAGUUUAUAUG
This 292-nucleotide unclassified non-coding RNA is filed under the name Hevea brasiliensis (rubber tree). Lineage: Eukaryota; Viridiplantae; Streptophyta; Magnoliopsida; Malpighiales; Euphorbiaceae. The record is from RNAcentral.